This 253-nucleotide ribosomal RNA is filed under the name uncultured bacterium. RNAcentral's name for it is "partial 16S ribosomal RNA". It matches the Rfam family "Bacterial small subunit ribosomal RNA", at positions 524 to 776 of the family's 1533-position model. RNAcentral also lists the same sequence under 1 other name. The record is from RNAcentral.
UACGGAGGGUCCGAGCGUUAUCCGGAAUUAUUGGGUUUAAAGGGUCCGUAGGCGGAUGAUUAAGUCAGGGGUGAAAGUUUGCAGCUCAACUGUAAAAUUGCCUUUGAUACUGGUUAUCUUGAGUUGUAUUGAAGUAGGCGGAAUAUGUAGUGUAGCGGUGAAAUGCAUAGAUAUUACAUAGAACACCAAUUGCGAAGGCAGCUUACUAAGUACUAACUGACGCUGAUGGACGAAAGCGUGGGUAGCGAACAGG